Non-coding RNA from Mycena rosella, 92 nucleotides. The record is from the annotation of a GenBank genome assembly. NCBI's taxonomy places the organism in Eukaryota, Fungi, Basidiomycota, Agaricomycetes, Agaricales, Mycenaceae.
GCUUCCGUGGAUGAGCGGUUAAUCGCCUCAACUGUGUAGUAUGUGAUAAGAAUUUUAAUGAGGAGACGCGGGCUCGAGUCCCGCCGGAGGCG